GGGGGAUAUUGCGCAAUGGGGGCAACCCUGACGCAGCAACGCCGCGUGAAGGAUGAAGGUUUUCGGAUUGUAAACUUCUUUUAUUAAGGACGAAAAAUGACGGUACUUAAUGAAUAAGCUCCGGCUAACUACGUGCCAGCAGCCGCGGUAAUACGUAGGGAGCAAGCGUUGUCCGGAUUUACUGGGUGUAAAGGGUGCGUAGGCGGCUUUGCAAGUCAGAUGUGAAAUCUAAGGGCUCAACCCAUAAACUGCAUUUGAAACUGUAGAGCUUGAGUGAAGUAGAGGCAGGCGGAAUUCCCCGUGUAGCGGUGAAAUGCGUAGAGAUGGGGAGGAACACCAGUGGCGAAGGCGGCCUGCUGGGCUUUAACUGACGCUGAGGCACGAAAGCGUGGGUAGCAAACAGGAUUAGAUACCCUGGUAGUCCACGCUGUAAACGAUGAUUACUAGGUGUGGGGGGUCUGACCCCUUCCGUGCCGGAGUUAACACAAUAAGUAAUCCACCUGGGGAGUACGGCCGCAAGGUUGAAACUCAAAGGAAUUGACGGGGGCCCGCACAAGCAGUGGAGUAUGUGGUUUAAUUCGAAGCAACGCGAAGAACCUUACCAGGUCUUGACAUCCAACUAACGAAGUAGAGAUACAUUAGGUGCCCUUCGGGGAAAGUUGAGACAGGUGGUGCAUGGUUGUCGUCAGCUCGUGUCGUGAGAUGUUGGGUUAAGUCCCGCAACGAGCGCAACCCUUGCUAUUAGUUGCUACGCAAGAGCACUCUAAUAGGACUGCCGUUGACAAAACGGAGGAAGGUGGGGACGACGUCAAAUCAUCAUGCCCCUUAUGACCUGGGCUACACACGUACUACAAUGGAUGUUAACAGAGGGAAGCAAGACAGCGAUGUGGAGCAAACCCCUAAAAACAUUCUCAGUUCAGAUUGCAGGCUGCAACCCGCCUGCAUGAAGAUGGAAUUGCUAGUAAUCGCGGAUCAGCAUGCCGCGGUGAAUACGUUCCCG
RNAcentral lists this ribosomal RNA (1000 nucleotides) under uncultured organism. RNAcentral's name for it is "bacterial SSU rRNA". It matches the Rfam family "Bacterial small subunit ribosomal RNA", at positions 356 to 1376 of the family's 1533-position model. The record is from RNAcentral.